Molecule: small RNA, 19 nt
Filed under: Arabidopsis thaliana (thale cress)
Lineage: Eukaryota; Viridiplantae; Streptophyta; Magnoliopsida; Brassicales; Brassicaceae
Description: Ath_wt_00818
Source: RNAcentral
AGCGGACUGCUCGAGCUGC